UACGUAGGCAGCGAGCGUUGUUCGGAAUUACUGGGCGUAAAGAGUGUGUAGGCGGUGCUCCCAGUAUGUUGUGAAAUCUCCCGGCUUAACUGGGAGGGUGCAGCGGAAACUAGAGUGCUAGAGGGUGGGAGAGGUAAGCGGAAUUCCUGGUGUAGCGGUGAAAUGCGUAGAUAUCAGGAGGAACACCUGUGGUGUAGACAGCUUACUGGACCACUUCUGACGCUGAGACACGAAAGCGUGGGUAGCAAACAGG
Molecule: ribosomal RNA, 253 nt
Filed under: uncultured bacterium
Lineage: Bacteria
Description: partial 16S ribosomal RNA
Rfam family: Bacterial small subunit ribosomal RNA
Source: RNAcentral